Molecule: ribosomal RNA, 465 nt
Filed under: uncultured bacterium
Lineage: Bacteria
Description: partial 16S ribosomal RNA
Rfam family: Bacterial small subunit ribosomal RNA
Source: RNAcentral
GACGAACGCUGGCGGCGUGCUUAACACAUGCAAGUCGAACGGAAAGGCCCUGCUUGCAGGGUACUCGAGUGGCGAACGGGUGAGUAACACGUGGGUGAUCUGCCCUGCACUUCGGGAUAAGCCUGGGAAACUGGGUCUAAUACUGGAUAGGAGCCAUUUUUAGUGUGAUGGUUGGAAAGUUUUUUCGGUGUAGGAUGAGCUCGCGGCCUAUCAGCUUGUUGGUGGGGUAAUGGCCUACCAAGGCGGCGACGGGUAGCCGGCCUGAGAGGGUGGACGGCCACAUUGGGACUGAGAUACGGCCCAGACUCCUACGGGAGGCAGCAGUGGGGAAUAUUGCACAAUGGGCGCAAGCCUGAUGCAGCGACGCCGCGUGGGGGAUGACGGCCUUCGGGUUGUAAACGCCUUUCGCUAGGGACGAAGCUUUUUGUGACGGUACCUAGAUAAGAAGCACCGGCUAACUACGUG